Drosophila pseudoobscura is the source of this 1174-nucleotide long non-coding RNA. RefSeq lists it as uncharacterized. The transcript has 2 exons. NCBI's taxonomy places the organism in Eukaryota, Metazoa, Arthropoda, Insecta, Diptera, Drosophilidae. The record is from RefSeq and is a predicted model, not a curated record.
UUCAGGUGGGUGGCAGGUAAUGGCGGAAGGGGUUUCAGAUAGGAUAUUCCCGAUAUGUAGGCUUCAUAGGUUAAAGUUCAGGUUAAGUUGUACUUUAUUAUAAACAAAAUCGUUUGAAUAUUUAUCGCAGACAACCCCAUAAACAACAUAAACAUAGGCACCGCCAUCCGACCAAUCAAUCAACCCUUGCGGCCGAAGAAAAGCCCGUAAAGAACCCAGGAAUACCAUGCCAUGCGUGUCUGGUGCGUGUGGAACCCCGUAGGAAUGGAGUGAGUGAACGGAACGAAACGAAACGGAACCCCAAGGAACGGAGCAAGUGGGCGAUGUCUGGUGUCUCUUCUAUGGUUUCACCUGCCUCGAAAAACGGGGUCAAAUAUUCACUGGGUGCUGGCUAUUGCCAAUUGCUUUCCAGAGAGAUCUCCUCCGCUCUGGCAUAUCCGCAUCCACAUCCGCACUUCACAGAGAUACAGACAGAGAGACCGAGAGAGAGAAAGAGAGAGAUACAGACCAUGGCAGGUUUGCGUGUGCUCCGUCGACUCCGGGGUCCAAAGUCCAUGUUUUGGCUCAAAGCAUUCGCUUAUAACGGCUCUAGAGACUCCAGUUGUUUCUUUUCCAAAUACCCUACGCCACACAGAGACCAUCACGUCUGUGGAGCCCAGAAAUCGAAUCUCAGUGUGAAAAUAUAUCUUAUUUGUAGAAGUAAAGCCUUGAAAUGUAUCCACUUUCCCAAGACUCAUUUUGGUCGUACCUUUGUGUAUAUUUUUCCUAUACAACGGAACCGUCUCCAAGGUACGAUCUCUAAGGGUAUCUAUAGCUUCGUUCUCUCAUUCUUUGUCAUCCUUUCCUCUUUUAGUCGCUAUUUUUUUUUGUGUUUCUUUCUGUUGUUGCUUAUUUUUUCAGCUUCAGUUUCAGAAAAGUUGGCUUGCAGUCCGUUUCUCUGCCUCCUCUGCUUCUCCUCUGCCGUUGCUGCCGCUGCUGCUGCUCCGCUUUGGCGUCGGCGGCGCUCUGUAUCUGUAUCUUUGUGUCUGUUUUCCUCAGUCCGUUUUACUUUUUGCACAUUGCAUAACUGUUCAUUAGCGAAGGCCGUUAACAACAAUAGCUACAGCGCUACAGAGAUACAAAACAGCAACAAAAUGUUGCCAAAGCACGUCUCUCGUACGACAAAAAACAAAAC